CAAUAGCGUAUAUUAAAGUUGUUGCAGUUAAAAAGCUCGUAGUUGAAUUUCUGGCGGGCGCGCCGGUCUUCCAAGUGUUGUACUGGGCGCAGUCCGCCAUCCUUGUGGAGAGGGCUCGCAUUGAGUUGCGUGUCGGAUCUGCAUCAUUUACUGUGAAAAAAUUAGAGUGUUUAAAGCAGGCUGUCGCUUGAAUACAUUAUCAUGGAAUAAUAAGAUAGGACUUCGGUCUAUUUUGUUGGUUGCGAACCGAGGUAAUGAUUAAUAGGGAUAGUUGGGGGUAUUCAUAUUUAAUUGUCAGAGGUGAAAUUCUUGGAUUUAUGAAAGAUGAACAACUGCGAAAGCAUUUACCAAGGAUGUUUUCAUUAA
RNAcentral lists this ribosomal RNA (366 nucleotides) under uncultured eukaryote. RNAcentral's name for it is "partial 18S ribosomal RNA". It matches the Rfam family "Eukaryotic small subunit ribosomal RNA", at positions 592 to 976 of the family's 1831-position model. The record is from RNAcentral.